Molecule: ribosomal RNA, 235 nt
Filed under: uncultured bacterium
Lineage: Bacteria
Description: partial 16S ribosomal RNA
Rfam family: Bacterial small subunit ribosomal RNA
Source: RNAcentral
GAUCAUGGCUCAGGAUGAACGCUAGCUACAGGCUUAACACAUGCAAGUCGAGGGGCAGCAUGAACUUAGCUUGCUAAGUUUGAUGGCGACCGGUGCACGGGUGAGUAACACGUAUCCAACCUUCCGUUUACUCAGGGAUAGCCUUUCGAAAGAAAGAUUAAUACCUGAUAGUAUGGUGAGAUUGCAGUGAUAGCACCAUUAAAGAUUUAUUGGUAAACGAUGGGGAUGCGUUCCA